CCUACGGGCGGCAGCAGUGAGGAAUAUUUGUCAAUGGGCUUACGCCUGAACCAGCCAAGUCGCGUGAGGGAAGACUGCCCUAUGGGUUGUAAACCUCUUUUGUCAGGGAGCAAUUGGCGCUACGUGUAGCGUUAUCGAGAGUACCUGAAGAAAAAGCAUCGGCUAACUCCGUGCCAGCAGCCGCGGUAAUACGGGGGGUGCAAGCGUUGUCCGGAAUCAUUGGGCGUAAAGAGUUCGUAGGCGGCACGUAAAGUCUGGUGUUAAAGGCAGAGGCUCAACUUCUGUACGGCACUGGAUACUUGCGAGCUAGAAUGCGGUAGAGGUAAAGGGAAUUCCUGGUGUAGCGGUGAAAUGCUUAGAUAUCAGGAGGAACAUCGGUGGCGUAAGCGCUUUACUGGGCCGUAAUUGACGCUGAGGAACGAAAGCCAGGGUAGCAAAUGGGAUUAGAUACCCUUGUAGUC
This 461-nucleotide ribosomal RNA is filed under the name uncultured bacterium. RNAcentral's name for it is "partial 16S ribosomal RNA". It matches the Rfam family "Bacterial small subunit ribosomal RNA", at positions 338 to 795 of the family's 1533-position model. The record is from RNAcentral.